This 465-nucleotide ribosomal RNA is filed under the name Vreelandella stevensii. Its description in RNAcentral is "partial 16S ribosomal RNA". It matches the Rfam family "Bacterial small subunit ribosomal RNA", at positions 338 to 795 of the family's 1533-position model. Lineage: Bacteria; Pseudomonadati; Pseudomonadota; Gammaproteobacteria; Oceanospirillales; Halomonadaceae. The record is from RNAcentral.
CCUACGGGUGGCUGCAGUGGGGAAUAUUGGACAAUGGGCGAAAGCCUGAUCCAGCCAUGCCGCGUGUGUGAAGAAGGCCUUCGGGUUGUAAAGCACUUUCAGUGGGGAAGAAAGCCUUGGGGCUAAUACCCUCGAGGAAGGACAUCACCCACAGAAGAAGCACCGGCUAACUCCGUGCCAGCAGCCGCGGUAAUACGGAGGGUGCGAGCGUUAAUCGGAAUUACUGGGCGUAAAGCGAGCGUAGGCGGUCUGAUAAGCCGGUUGUGAAAGCCCCGGGCUCAACUUGGGAACGGCAUCCGGAACUGUCAGGCUAGAGUGCAGGAGAGGAAGGUAGAAUUCCCGGUGUAGCGGUGAAAUGCGUAGAGAUCGGGAGGAAUACCAGUGGCGAAGGCGGCCUUCUGGACUGACACUGACGCUGAGGUGCGAAAGCGUGGGUAGCAAACAGGAUUAGAUACCCCUGUAGUC